ACAGCGUCUGGUGCAGCAAAUGAUAGCUCUUCUUCUUAAUACUUUAUUAACUGUUAUUAUGGACCUAAAGCAUCCAGAGCUGCGCCUAUCUCUCAGUUCUCUUUUCUCCUGGACGAUGCCCAUUUUCUCAACGGAGGCCCUGCUUUGCAGCUAGGGAGCCCUUCAGUGCCAACCGCUCUAUCCCACGAGAGAGGGUGCACGCAGGGUAGAGGGAUUCAACCUUGGGAGGUGUCCCGGCAGCCAGUUACACACGCGGAAGGAGGGAGGCAAGAGAAGCAGCAACAGCACUGGCGGAAGUUCACCGAGUUGAUAAAGUUAUUAAAACAUAAAACACACACAUGCACCAGGCCGGGGGGGGGGGGAAUGCAUAAAAUCAAGCAACCCGCCGCGUCCAGCCCUUUACCUCCAGGCUGUGCAAAGCCAGGAGGGCGAGGGAGCGGGGAGAGGAGGAACGAGUCUGACAGCUCGGUAAGCCUGACUGGGAAAAAAAAAAAAUCAAAACAAAGCCUUGGUGAUUAGGAGAAAGGAGCUUGAAGAUACACAAGGAAACACUGUUCAUUUGACCUUGGGAAGAAAGGUGACUGUGUCUCAUCGCAAUUGUUUCUGAAUUGGAAAGCUC
This 619-nucleotide long non-coding RNA is filed under the name Mustela putorius furo (domestic ferret). Its description in RNAcentral is "lncRNA (ENSMPUG00000026574.1)". The record is from RNAcentral. Lineage: Eukaryota; Metazoa; Chordata; Mammalia; Carnivora; Mustelidae.